RNAcentral lists this ribosomal RNA (206 nucleotides) under uncultured bacterium. Its description in RNAcentral is "partial 16S ribosomal RNA". It matches the Rfam family "Bacterial small subunit ribosomal RNA", at positions 371 to 571 of the family's 1533-position model. The record is from RNAcentral.
AUGGGGGGACCUGAUCAGCCAUGCCGCGUGUGUGAAGAAGGCCUUUUGGUUGUAAAGCACUUUAAGCGAGGAGGAGGAGCUUCAGGUUAAUACCCUGGAUGCUUGGACGUUACUCGCAGAAUAAGCACCGGCUAACUCUGUGCCAGCAGCCGCGGUAAUACAGAGGGUGCAAGCGUUAAUCGGAUUUACUGGGCGUAAAGCGUGCG